Molecule: non-coding RNA, 633 nt
Organism: Xyrichtys novacula (pearly razorfish)
Lineage: Eukaryota; Metazoa; Chordata; Actinopteri; Labriformes; Labridae
Source: the annotation of a GenBank genome assembly
AUGAAUGCGUUAAGCUGUUGUUUUAGUGUUCUUUUGAUGACUUUGGCUUGUUGAUAUGAAAAGUGUUUGUUUUGGCGAGUUUGAAUGUUUUUGAGCAUGUGUAAUGGCAUGAAUGCGUUAAGCUGUUGUUUUAGUCUUCUUUUGAUGACUUUGGCUUGUUGUUAUGAAAAGUGUUUGUUUUGGCGAGUUUGAAUGUUUUUGAGCAUGUGUAAUGGCAUGAAUGCGUUAAGCUGUUGUUUUAGUCUUCUUUUGAUGACUUUGGCUUGUUGUUAUGAAAAGUGUUUGUUUUGGCGAGUUUGAACGUUUUUGAGCAUGUGUAAUGGCAUGAAUGCGUUAAGCUGUUGUUUUAGUGUUCUUUUGAUGAGUUUGGCUUGUUGUUAUGAACAUUGUUCGUUUCGGCCAGUUUGAAGGUUGUUUUAGCAUGUGUAAUGGCAUGAAUGCGUUAAGCUGUUGUUUUAGUGUUCUUUUGAUGAGUUUGGCUUGUUGUUAUGAAAAGUGUUUGUUUUGGCGAGUUUGAACGUUUUUGAGCAUGUGUAAUGGCAUGAAUGCGUUAAGCUGUUGUUUUAGUGUUCUUUUGAUGAGUUUGGCUUGUUGUUAUGAACAUUGUUCGUUUUGACCAGUUUGAAGGUUUUU